AGUCGACGCUUCUUUUUCCACCGGAGCUUGCUCCACCGGAAAAAGAAGAGUGGCGAACGGGUGAGUAACACGUGGGUAACCUGCCCAUCAGAAGGGGAUAACACUUGGAAACAGGUGCUAAUACCGUAUAACAAUCAAAACCGCAUGGUUUUGAUUUGAAAGGCGCUUUCGGGUGUCGCUGAUGGAUGGACCCGCGGUGCAUUAGCUAGUUGGUGAGGUAACGGCUCACCAAGGCCACGAUGCAUAGCCGACCUGAGAGGGUGAUCGGCCACAUUGGGACUGAGACACGGCCCAAACUCCUACGGGAGGCAGCAGUAGGGAAUCUUCGGCAAUGGACGAAAGUCUGACCGAGCAACGCCGCGUGAGUGAAGAAGGUUUUCGGAUCGUAAAACUCUGUUGUUAGAGAAGAACAAGGAUGAGAGUAACUGUUCAUCCCUUGACGGUAUCUAACCAGAAAGCCACGGCUAACUACGUGCCAGCAGCCGCGGUAAUACGUAGGUGGCAAGCGUUGUCCGGAUUUAUUGGGCGUAAAGCGAGCGCAGGCGGUUUCUUAAGUCUGAUGUGAAAGCCCCCGGCUCAACCGGGGAGGGUCAUUGGAAACUGGGAGACUUGAGUGCAGAAGAGGAGAGUGGAAUUCCAUGUGUAGCGGUGAAAUGCGUAGAUAUAUGGAGGAACACCAGUGGCGAAGGCGGCUCUCUGGUCUGUAACUGACGCUGAGGCUCGAAAGCGUGGGGAGCAAACAGGAUUAGAUACCCUGGUAGUCCACGCCGUAAACGAUGAGUGCUAAGUGUUGGAGGGUU
Molecule: ribosomal RNA, 800 nt
Filed under: Enterococcus faecium
Lineage: Bacteria; Bacillati; Bacillota; Bacilli; Lactobacillales; Enterococcaceae
Description: bacterial SSU rRNA
Rfam family: Bacterial small subunit ribosomal RNA
Source: RNAcentral